Molecule: small RNA, 439 nt
Filed under: Homo sapiens (human)
Lineage: Eukaryota; Metazoa; Chordata; Mammalia; Primates; Hominidae
Description: PPP1R3B divergent transcript (ENSG00000285236.3)
Source: RNAcentral
GAGGACGGGCGCCAGGGGGCAACUUCCUACAGGAGGGCGUCCCGUUAGAAUGACAGGGCUUUUGCAAAAGUCUGACACCCGUGGCACAGAGCGCCCCAGAUAUGGAGGGUUUCACAGGCUCAUGUGUGGCUUCUUCAGUCCUCUCUUCAUUCACUCAUGUAUUCAUUUAUUCAACGACAUAUUACUAAGGAACCUCCUUAAGCCGGGAUGCUGAACGUGGAAAAAUAGUUGACUCUUGAACAAUGUGGGGGCUUGGGGCACCAACCCCCUGUGCAGUUGAAAAUCGACAUAUAACUUUGACUCGCCAAAAACUUCACUACAAUAGCCUGCUGCCAACCUGAAGUCUUACCAAUAACAUCAACAGUCAAUUAAACAUAUUACGUAUGUUAUAUGUAUUCUAUGCUGUAGUUUUACAAUAAAGUAAGCUGGAGAAAAGAAA